GGGUUGAGGGGAACUCGGGGUGUGGGUUUGGUCCAUGGCUUACUUUCUCUGGUCUCUCUUGCGUUCGUAGACUCCACUCCACUUGGCUGUGAUCACCAACCAGCCAGAAAUUGCUGAGGCACUUCUGGGAGCUGGCUGUGAUCCUGAGCUCCGAGACUUUCGAGGAAAUACCCCCCUACACCUUGCCUGUGAGCAGGGCUGCCUGGCCAGCGUGGGAGUCCUGACUCAGUCCUGCACCACCCCGCACCUCCACUCCAUCCUGAAGGCUACCAACUACAAUGGCCACACGUGUCUACACUUAGCCUCUAUCCAUGGCUACCUGGGCAUCGUGGAGCUUUUGGUGUCCUUGGGUGCUGAUGUCAAUGCUCAGGAGCCCUGUAA
This 381-nucleotide small RNA is filed under the name Pan troglodytes (chimpanzee). RNAcentral's name for it is "retained intron". The record is from RNAcentral. Lineage: Eukaryota; Metazoa; Chordata; Mammalia; Primates; Hominidae.